GGGGAUGUCAAGGUUUCGACACGAAUAAUUGACUCUCAAAGGCAGUGGGGUUUGCCCCUUAUAGCUAUCGAGGCCGCUUAAAUGCAGACUCACAAGAAGAUAACGUUAACUUAGACGAAGCAUUCCUAGUUAACCAAUUGUCAACACAAAACAACCUUAACUACGCUUUUGUAGCCUAGGCCUUUGUGUCUUAAGGUAUUAAGGUUAGAACACUUACCUUGAUACAUUAGAAUAAGUGUUUAUAUUAAGCUGAUGUCUAUAGGCUUAAUGAAAUUAUAGACUUAGUUAUAUUCAGGCUGUUCUAAAGCCUAUGUAAAUAUAAUGAAAUGCUCAAUUUAGAACUAAACUGUAGAAUUUGCCAGAAGAUUAUUUAUGGAAAUGGGUUCAACUCCCAUCAUCUCCACCA
This 406-nucleotide transfer-messenger RNA is filed under the name Mycoplasmataceae bacterium. It matches the Rfam family "transfer-messenger RNA". Rfam says of the family: Bacterial tmRNA, also known as 10Sa RNA or SsrA, is named for its dual tRNA and mRNA-like properties. Its role is to liberate the mRNA from a stalled ribosome. To accomplish this part of the tmRNA is used as a reading frame that ends in a translation stop signal. The record is from RNAcentral. Lineage: Bacteria; Bacillati; Mycoplasmatota; Mollicutes; Mycoplasmatales; Mycoplasmataceae.